This 252-nucleotide ribosomal RNA is filed under the name uncultured bacterium. RNAcentral describes it as "partial 16S ribosomal RNA". It matches the Rfam family "Bacterial small subunit ribosomal RNA", at positions 524 to 776 of the family's 1533-position model. The record is from RNAcentral.
UACGUAGGUCCCGAGCGUUGUCCGGAUUUAUUGGGCGUAAAGCGAGCGCAGGUGGUUUAUUAAGUCUGGCGUAAAAGGCAGUGGCUCAGCCAUUGUAUGCAUUGGAAACUGGUAGACUUGAGUGCAGGAGAGGAGAGUGGAAUUCCAUGUGUAGCGGUGAAAUGCGUAGAUAUAUGGAGGAACACCGGUGGCGAAAGCGGCUCUCUGGCCUGUAACUGACACUGAGGCUCGAAAGCGUGGGGAGCAAACAGG